UUGAACUCCUGGGCUCAAGCGAUCUGCCUGCCUUGGCCUCUCAAAUUGCUGAGAUUCACAGGCAUGAGCCCAGCCAUUUUUCAGCACAUUCUUUAGGCAAUUUCUUUUCAGUAUUUUAGAGUAGUAAGUACUCUAAGUUCUUGGUCUUCAUAAAUUGACAACCUCUUAUUUUGUAGGUUAUAGUGCCAUCAUGUGGAUACUUUGUUUUCUUCAAAUAAAAUGUAACUUUUUAUAAUAGAAACUAGAAAACCCAGCCAUCCCACACCCAGGCUAUGCAAAGAAAUUGGAGCCAAAGGUUUUUUUGCCAUGUUCUGAAAAGCCUACUUUCAAAGCCAUCACCUAUAAUCCUUUUUCAGAUCAUAACCACUCUGCUUUCAAAACCAGGUAAGGGCAAUGCAGACAUAAUUUAUCCUUUUUCCUUAUUGCUAACAGGAGUUACAAUGAUAACAUCAGACAUACUGUCAUAAAGUAAACUGCUCUUUUCUUUAAAAUCUUAGUCUUCAGCCUAUUUUCAAAGUCAUCACCUGUAAUCCUUUUUCAGAUCAUAACCACUCUGCUUUCAAAACCAGAUAAGGGCAAUGCAGACACAAUUUACCCUUUUUCUAACAGGAGUUACAAUGAUAACAUCAGACCCACUAUCUUUCCAUUUGGGCUACCAUAACAAAAUGCCGUAGAUUGGGUGGCUUAUA
Macaca mulatta (Rhesus monkey) is the source of this 689-nucleotide non-coding RNA. The record is from RefSeq and is a predicted model, not a curated record. Lineage: Eukaryota; Metazoa; Chordata; Mammalia; Primates; Cercopithecidae.